GCCCUCGUAGCUCAAUGGAUAGAGCGCUACUUUGCCGAAGGAAGAGGUUGCAGGUUCAAAUCCUGUCGGGGGCACCA
RNAcentral lists this transfer RNA (77 nucleotides) under Candidatus Planktophila sp. Its description in RNAcentral is "tRNA-Gly". It matches the Rfam family "tRNA". Rfam says of the family: Transfer RNA (tRNA) molecules are approximately 80 nucleotides in length. Their secondary structure includes four short double-helical elements and three loops (D, anti-codon, and T loops). Lineage: Bacteria; Bacillati; Actinomycetota; Actinomycetes; Candidatus Nanopelagicales; Candidatus Nanopelagicaceae. The record is from RNAcentral.